GGUGUGAUUCAUGACUGGGGUGAAGUCGUAACAAGGUAGCCGUAGGGGAACCUGCGGCUGGAUCACCUCCUUAAUCGAAGACA
This 83-nucleotide ribosomal RNA is filed under the name Pseudomonas putida. Its description in RNAcentral is "partial 16S ribosomal RNA". The stretch from base 1 to 73 matches the Rfam family "Bacterial small subunit ribosomal RNA", at positions 1461 to 1533 of the family's 1533-position model. Lineage: Bacteria; Pseudomonadati; Pseudomonadota; Gammaproteobacteria; Pseudomonadales; Pseudomonadaceae. The record is from RNAcentral.